Molecule: ribosomal RNA, 293 nt
Filed under: Chaetothyriales sp.
Lineage: Eukaryota; Fungi; Ascomycota; Eurotiomycetes; Chaetothyriales
Description: partial small subunit ribosomal RNA
Rfam family: Bacterial small subunit ribosomal RNA
Source: RNAcentral
CCCCCCCCCCCUUUCCAUAUUGGCCUAUAAAUGAAAGUGAAAGCAUUCCACCUCAUGAGUAAAGCGGCAACGCCCAAAUUGAAAUCAUUAGACCGUUUCUGAAACCAGUAGUGAAGUAUGUUAUUUAAUUCGAUAAUCCGCGAAUAACCUUACCACAUUAUGCAUUGAAUAUUAUUCAAUUAUUACAAGCGCUGCACGGCUGUCUUCAGUUAAUGUCGUGAGAUUUUGGUUUGUUCCAUAAAUUAACGAAAACCCUUGCUUUAUUUGUUUUUAUAAAGUAGUUCUCCAUAUAA